AACUCGCGCACUUGGGACCCAUUCCCACCUAGGACCAUAGGCUCAAGAUGGCCUGGUGGAUGCCGCCGGCACGCGCCUCUCCUCUGGCGGGAACCGAAGGCGCCGGUAGGUUUUCACACUUGCAGCCGAUCGGCUAAGAGAACGCGGGAUUCAGCCGAGAAGCCACUGGGAGCCCGAGGAGCGGAGCAGAGGCACCCAGGCAGCCUGCGCGGAGAAAUCGGAUCGGCUAGGACGGCCUGCAGCCCCUGCGCGCGGGGAAAGGGAAGAAGUCCUCCCCUACAAAGCGAGUUCACAAACUUGGAAGAAGCCACUUUCACAGGAUGCACAGAUCUCAACGGAAGGACACAGAAAACAUGAAAAAGCAAGGAAAUGGGGCGCCUCCAACGGAACCCAGUAAUUCUCCAGCAGCAGAUCCCCAUCCAAAAGAAACAGAAGACAUUUUGGAGAGAGAAUUGAAUAUACAUAUUAUACAGUUGUGGGCAUAAUACAAGCAUCAUUUGGAAAAGAACAGAGAAAAAAGAUGGAAGGAGUUACCGUACUGCAGGAAAAAAUUAUCAACUCCAGUGAUAUUAUUAAAUACAACCUAACGACACUUCUGAAGCUGAAGAAAUCACUGGAUGAAAUACAAAGUAAACUCAAAAGCUUCAGUGAUAGACUAGAACAAGAAGAAGAAAGACUCUCAAAACUUGAAAUCUGAAGCAUGUUUCUUAAAGAUUUAAAGGGUUAUUAUACUCUGGCCAUUAAUGUGAACGAAAUCUGCUGGGUUAAUUCUUAUACUGGGGUCUUGGAUAAUCAUUAAAGUGAAAUGAGAAUAAUUUCUUUUUGAGAUGA
Long non-coding RNA from Homo sapiens (human), 831 nucleotides. NCBI's taxonomy places the organism in Eukaryota, Metazoa, Chordata, Mammalia, Primates, Hominidae. The record is from Ensembl.